This 489-nucleotide ribosomal RNA is filed under the name uncultured bacterium. Its description in RNAcentral is "bacterial SSU rRNA". It matches the Rfam family "Bacterial small subunit ribosomal RNA", at positions 28 to 507 of the family's 1533-position model. The record is from RNAcentral.
GAUGAACGCUAGCGACAGGCUUAACACAUGCAAGUCGAGGGGCAGCACGGUGUAGCAAUACACGGGGUGGCGACCGGCGCACGGGUGAGUAACGCGUAUCCAACCUUCCCCUGUCCACGGGAUAGCCCGUCGAAAGGCGGAUUAAUACCGUAUGAGGUCACACGAUGGCAUCAGACUGUGACGAAAGGUUUAGCGGACAGGGAUGGGGAUGCGUCCGAUUAGGUAGUCGGCGGGGUAACGGCCCACCGAGCCGACGAUCGGUAGGGGUUCUGAGAGGAAGGUCCCCCACAUUGGAACUGAGACACGGUCCAAACUCCUACGGGAGGCAGCAGUGAGGAAUAUUGGUCAAUGGACGUAAGUCUGAACCAGCCAAGUAGCGUGCAGGAUGACGGCCCUAUGGGUUGUAAAACUGCUUUUAUGCGGGGAUAAAAGUGGGGGACGCGUCCCUUUUUGCAGGUACCGCAUGAAUAAGGACCGGCUAAUUCCGUG